This is a non-coding RNA of Nematostella vectensis (starlet sea anemone), 74 nucleotides long. NCBI's taxonomy places the organism in Eukaryota, Metazoa, Cnidaria, Anthozoa, Actiniaria, Edwardsiidae. The record is from Rfam.
GUCUCUGUGUUGCAAUCGGUAAGCGCGUUCGUCUGUUAACCGAAAGGUUGGUGGUUCAAGCCCACCCAGGGAAG